GGGGCGGUAGCUCAGUUGGUCAGAGCAAGGGACUCAUAAUCCCCGGGUCGUAGGUUCGAGUCCUACCCGCCCCA
Molecule: transfer RNA, 74 nt
Filed under: Thermoleophilaceae bacterium
Lineage: Bacteria; Bacillati; Actinomycetota; Thermoleophilia; Thermoleophilales; Thermoleophilaceae
Description: tRNA-Ile
Rfam family: tRNA
About the family: Transfer RNA (tRNA) molecules are approximately 80 nucleotides in length. Their secondary structure includes four short double-helical elements and three loops (D, anti-codon, and T loops).
Source: RNAcentral